RNAcentral lists this ribosomal RNA (384 nucleotides) under uncultured bacterium. Its description in RNAcentral is "bacterial SSU rRNA". It matches the Rfam family "Bacterial small subunit ribosomal RNA", at positions 30 to 426 of the family's 1533-position model. The record is from RNAcentral.
AUUGAACGCUGGCGGCAGGCUUAACACAUGCAAGUCGAGCGGAGACUUCGGUCUUAGCGGCGAACGGGUGAGUAAUACCUAGGAAUCUGCCCAUUAGCGGGGGACAACGUUUCGAAAGGAACGCUAAUACCGCAUACGCCCUACGGGGAAAGGCAGGGGAGUCUUUUGUACCUUGCACUAAUGGAUGAGCCUAGGCCGGAUUAGCUAGUUGGUAGGGUAAAGGCCUACCAAGGCGACGAUCUGUAGCUGGUCUGAGAGGAUGACCAGCCACACUGGAACUGAGACACGGUCCAGACUCCUACGGGAGGCAGCAGUGGGGAAUAUUGGACAAUGGGCGCAAGCCUGAUCCAGCCAUGCCGCGUGUGUGAAGAAGGCCUCGGUUGU